This 519-nucleotide ribosomal RNA is filed under the name uncultured bacterium. Its description in RNAcentral is "bacterial SSU rRNA". It matches the Rfam family "Bacterial small subunit ribosomal RNA", at positions 8 to 518 of the family's 1533-position model. The record is from RNAcentral.
AGAGUUGAUCAUGGCUCAGGAUGAACGCUAGCUACAGGCUUAACACAUGCAAGUCGAGGGGCAUCAUGUCGGUUGCUUGCAACCGAUGAUGGCGACCGGCGCACGGGUGAGUAACGCGUAUCCAACCUUCCCCUUAGUAGGGCAUAGCCCGUAGAAAUGCGGAUUAACACCCUAUGUUCUUCAUGGAUGGCAUCUGACGUGAAGCAAAGUUUACGCUAAGGGAUGGGGAUGCGUCUGAUUAGGUUGCAGGCGGGGUAACGGCCCACCUGGCCGACGAUCAGUAGGGGUUCUGAGAGGAAGGUCCCCCACAUUGGAACUGAGACACGGUCCAAACUCCUACGGGAGGCAGCAGUGAGGAAUAUUGGUCAAUGGGCGAGAGCCUGAACCAGCCAAGUAGCGUGCAGGACGACGGCCCUAUGGGUUGUAAACUGUCUUUUAUCAGGGGAUAAAGUCGGCUACGCGUAGCCGUUUGUAGGUACCUGAUGAAUAAGGACCGGCUAAUUCCGUGCCAGCCGCCGC